Molecule: ribosomal RNA, 253 nt
Filed under: uncultured bacterium
Lineage: Bacteria
Description: partial 16S ribosomal RNA
Rfam family: Bacterial small subunit ribosomal RNA
Source: RNAcentral
UACGUAGGUGGCGAGCGUUGUCCGGAUUUACUGGGCGUAAAGAGCGCGCAGGCGGUCGUACAAGUCGCGUGUGAAAGCCCCCGGCUCAACUGGGGAGGGUCACGCGAUACUGUUCGACUCGAAGGCAGGAGAGGGAAGCGGAAUUCCCGGUGUAGUGGUGAAAUGCGUAGAUAUCGGGAGGAACACCAGUGGCGAAGGCGGCAUCCUGGACCGGCAUUGACGCUGAGGAGCGAAAGCUAGGGGAGCAAACGGG